Molecule: unclassified non-coding RNA, 333 nt
Filed under: soil metagenome
Description: partial contains 5.8S ribosomal RNA, internal transcribed spacer 2, and large subunit ribosomal RNA
Rfam family: 5.8S ribosomal RNA (bases 1-120)
Source: RNAcentral
GAUGAAGAACGCAGCGAAAUGCGAUAAGUAAUGUGAAUUGCAGAAUUCAGUGAAUCAUCGAAUCUUUGAACGCACAUUGCGCCCGCCAGUAUUCUGGCGGGCAUGCCUGUUCGAGCGUCAUUUCAACCAUCAAGCCCCCGGCUUGUGUUGGGGACCUGCGGCUGCCGCAGGCCCUGAAAUGCAGUGGCGGGCUCGCUGUCACUCCGAGCGUAGUAGUUACAUCUCGCUCUGGGCGUGCUGCGGGUUCCGGCCGUUAAAAGCCUUAUUUACCCAAGGUUGACCUCGGAUCAGGUAGGAAGACCCGCUGAACUUAAGCAUAUCAUAAGCGGAGGA